Molecule: long non-coding RNA, 455 nt
Filed under: Felis catus (domestic cat)
Lineage: Eukaryota; Metazoa; Chordata; Mammalia; Carnivora; Felidae
Description: lncRNA (ENSFCAG00000049308.1)
Source: RNAcentral
GUGGGAAUACAACUGAACAUACCUUUAUGGCUCUUGGCUGGAAUCUCUAAGAGUUCUGUGGAGAAUAUUCUGUGCUGGUAAUUGUUCCUAAUCAGCUGGAUGAAAGAGAAAGCAAAAAGUGCUUUUGAUACCUUCCCUGAAAAUGUCUGCAGCAUAAUAAUCUGAUAAGGGUAUAAUCACUAUGAUAAUCUUUAUAUUCACUAUGAUUCAACCUUCACCAAGUUCUAGCUAUGCUAGAAAGUGGAUUUUGACUGAGUAGAACAGCUCAUCUCGGUCACUCUACAGAAAUGGAGGACCACCACCUUCGACAUGUGAUAAGCCUUUGGAAACUGGUGCCUUGGGCAAGCUCAAGGACGACUCUACAUCUCGACGUCAAGUGUCUGGCCCAUAACAAGUGCUCAAUGAAUUCCUGUUGACAGAAUAAAUAUGUAAGUGUUGCAAGAGAGUUUCUUGCA